This 71-nucleotide transfer RNA is filed under the name Loxodonta africana (African savanna elephant). It matches the Rfam family "tRNA". From Rfam's summary of the family: Transfer RNA (tRNA) molecules are approximately 80 nucleotides in length. Their secondary structure includes four short double-helical elements and three loops (D, anti-codon, and T loops). The record is from Rfam by way of RNAcentral. Lineage: Eukaryota; Metazoa; Chordata; Mammalia; Proboscidea; Elephantidae.
GCAGUGGUGGUUCAGUGGUAGAAUUCUCACCUUCCAUGUGGCAGACUCAGGUUCAAUUCCAGGCCAAUACA